CGAAGCAACAGCCUGACUUCGGAUUUCAUAGAGAAUCUGAGGAAAUUCCAGCCAUUCUUUCAUGCCGAACAGAGGCUUUUCCUUCCUGGAAAAAUCUUUGUCAAUCGAGAGGUUGGGCUCUGUUACAGAAACGACACGCCCUUAUUCAGAUGGCGAUGAUAGAGUGAAGUCUGUGGUAACACACGAUUAUUUAAGCUCUUGAGGACGAAUAAGGAAUCGAUGAGACGAACACCCUCGGUGAAUGCAAGCAGAGCAUUUGAUCUUUCACAAGAUCUAGGAGAGUUGCGCUUAGGUUGAUGUCAGGAACCUAAAUUAGGUGACUUAUUUAGGUGAACAGAAGCUGGAUUACUCAUUGGAGCG
RNAcentral lists this RNase P RNA (360 nucleotides) under Candidatus Heimdallarchaeota archaeon B3_Heim. RNAcentral's name for it is "Candidatus Heimdallarchaeota archaeon B3-JM-08 RNase P RNA component". It matches the Rfam family "Archaeal RNase P". From Rfam's summary of the family: Ribonuclease P (RNase P) is a ubiquitous endoribonuclease, found in archaea, bacteria and eukarya as well as chloroplasts and mitochondria. Its best characterised activity is the generation of mature 5'-ends of tRNAs by cleaving the 5'-leader elements of precursor-tRNAs. The record is from RNAcentral. Lineage: Archaea; Promethearchaeati; Candidatus Heimdallarchaeota.